ACAAAAAAAUUGAGCAGCCCAAAUUUCAAUCGAUCCGAAACCAACAAAGCUCCUAGAAACCAGCAAUAAAAUAAUUAAUUAAUAAAAUACACCAAAAAAAUAAACAGAAAAAAUCAGGGAAAUAGAAAAAUAUGUUUACCUUUUUUAUGCUUCAAGUACACUCUUUUGAGGGGAAAAUAACACUGUAGCAAACCCACGCCGAGCCUCGCGCACAGUCCGUUCCUGUUUCGCUGUUGCACAUGGAGCUCAAGUCGUCGAACCAUAGUCGGAACUCGCAUCAAACCUAGCUUACAUUACAAAUCCUUGAACAGUAGAGAUAUUUAGCUGCAGAGGCGGAUAUUGGUA
RNAcentral lists this long non-coding RNA (345 nucleotides) under Elaeis guineensis (African oil palm). RNAcentral's name for it is "long non-coding RNA (EGUI_LNC000838)". Lineage: Eukaryota; Viridiplantae; Streptophyta; Magnoliopsida; Arecales; Arecaceae. The record is from RNAcentral.